UACCCGAUAGUGUAACGGUAGCACUUCAGAUUUUGGCUCUGACAGUCUAGGUUCAAAUCCUAGUCGGGUAG
This 71-nucleotide transfer RNA is filed under the name Pirellulaceae bacterium. RNAcentral's name for it is "tRNA-Gln". It matches the Rfam family "tRNA". From Rfam's summary of the family: Transfer RNA (tRNA) molecules are approximately 80 nucleotides in length. Their secondary structure includes four short double-helical elements and three loops (D, anti-codon, and T loops). The record is from RNAcentral. Lineage: Bacteria; Pseudomonadati; Planctomycetota; Planctomycetia; Pirellulales; Pirellulaceae.